UUGAUUUAAACGUGAGCGUACUAUUCGAUAAUCGCAUUGUUCGAUAAACAGGGAAACGGAAAUUCGGUUCUGUUCUAAAGAAUGCCUCAAAAGUGAAUCCAUUAACAAUCAUCUGUCCGCAUUUGGGAUAUUUUACGGCAAAAUUUUAUUUGUUUCUAUAUUUAAAGAAGUAAGAUCUCACAAUUUCCCCACUGUAUAAAGGUAGUGCGAAAAAAAGGUCACAUUUAAGCGAUAUUUUCGUUCAGGAAGUAUACCUCGUAGCUUCCCUACAUUUUCAGUAAAAUUUGUUUAAUUCACAAAUAGGCAGGCACAGUAUAAUCAAGAUGCACCGGGUGGCGGUAGUUUUCAUGUUUAUGUUUGUGUGCCAACCAGUUCAAGGAUUGAAAAGAUGUCGGCCUGGGUCAAUGCUUUGUCCAGCUGCCGGUCGUUCAUUUAUUCCAACACAGGAAUUUGACAAAGACCCAUCUUAUUUCGCAACAAGAAAAGAUAAACCAAGGUCAGACCAGGUUCACUACAAUCACCAAAGGAAUGCUGUAUCGCUCUUACGGAAGCUACGCAUCACAAAAAAUAUCUAACAAUGUGUGGAAAGACCGAAACAAUAAAAAGCAUGUACAGACCUUUAAUAUGGACUGUUUCUCUUUAAUUCGAAAGAAACUAUUGCUAUUGAUUUCAAUUUAAAACCAAGAAUCCUAUUCGUUUUAAAGCUUUAUGUGCUCCUAGGAAACAGAAUGGCGCAAAGACUAAGCCACCUAUACAUACUGCGCUCAUUCAAUGAUUGGGAGCAAUAAAUUAAAUGGAAUUUAAUGAUAGUACUUUAUAGUUAUUAGUUAUGAUCUUCCUAUGUAAAGUCUAGAAUACUAUGUAUCAGAAGAUGAGAUUUCUAUGAGAAACACAUGUUUCGCUUAAUUUUUAAAUAGAAACCAUGCGUUCAUUAA
Pocillopora damicornis (cauliflower coral) is the source of this 935-nucleotide long non-coding RNA. The record is from RefSeq and is a predicted model, not a curated record. NCBI's taxonomy places the organism in Eukaryota, Metazoa, Cnidaria, Anthozoa, Scleractinia, Pocilloporidae.